Molecule: transfer RNA, 74 nt
Filed under: Granulicella rosea
Lineage: Bacteria; Pseudomonadati; Acidobacteriota; Terriglobia; Terriglobales; Acidobacteriaceae
Rfam family: tRNA
About the family: Transfer RNA (tRNA) molecules are approximately 80 nucleotides in length. Their secondary structure includes four short double-helical elements and three loops (D, anti-codon, and T loops). Further hydrogen bonds mediate the characteristic L-shaped molecular structure. tRNAs have two regions of fundamental functional importance: the anti-codon, which is responsible for specific mRNA codon recognition, and the 3' end, to which the tRNAs corresponding amino acid is attached (by aminoacyl-tRNA synthetases). tRNAs cope with the degeneracy of the genetic code in two manners: having more than one tRNA (with a specific anti-codon) for a particular amino acid; and 'wobble' base-pairing, i.e. permitting non-standard base-pairing at the 3rd anti-codon position.
Source: Rfam by way of RNAcentral
GGGCGGAUAGCUCAGCUGGUUAGAGCACCUCGCUUACACCGAGGGUGUCGGGGGUUCGAAUCCCUCUCUGCCCA